Molecule: ribosomal RNA, 253 nt
Filed under: uncultured bacterium
Lineage: Bacteria
Description: partial 16S ribosomal RNA
Rfam family: Bacterial small subunit ribosomal RNA
Source: RNAcentral
UACAGGGGGGGCAAGCGUUGUUCGGAAUUACUGGGCGUAAAGGGCCAGUAGGCGGCCAACUAAGUCCGACGUGAAAUCCCAAGGCUUAACCUUGGAACUGCGUCGGAUACUGGAUGGCUUGAAUUCGGGAGAGGGAUGCAGAAUUCCAGGUGUAGCGGUGAAAUGCGUAGAUAUCUGGAGGAACACCGGUGGCGAAGGCGGCAUCCUGGACCGGCAUUGACGCUGAGGAGCGAAAGCCAGGGGAGCAAACGGG